Long non-coding RNA from Motacilla alba alba, 301 nucleotides. RefSeq lists it as uncharacterized. The record is from RefSeq and is a predicted model, not a curated record. The transcript is spliced from 3 exons. Lineage: Eukaryota; Metazoa; Chordata; Aves; Passeriformes; Motacillidae.
CAUACUGGAAAGCUUUUCAGAAUGUCGGACAAUUUUUCAUAAUUUCUUAUCACUUCUGUCCUAAAAACUUCAUUUUUCCAGGGAAUUAAAUAAUAAUUGUGCAGAGUGUUUGAAAGAAGCACGACAGAUAAGGUGCAUUCUGCAAGAGCUGCAAAAUGAAAUGAUGAUCAGACGAUAAUCUUAUAUGUUUCCUUCAUCUUCUGUUUCCAGCAGCUUGGAAGGCCAUGCCUGGAGCACUCUGCUUGUUUUUUGGCUCUUCAGUUGGAAAAAAAAUCACAUCCUGGAGACAGUCCUUCAGAAG